RNAcentral lists this ribosomal RNA (748 nucleotides) under uncultured marine microorganism. RNAcentral's name for it is "bacterial SSU rRNA". It matches the Rfam family "Bacterial small subunit ribosomal RNA", at positions 8 to 803 of the family's 1533-position model. The record is from RNAcentral.
AGAGUUUGAUCAUGGCUCAGGAUGAACGCUGGCGGCGUGCUUAACACAUGCAAGUCGAACGAACCUUCGGGUUAGUGGCGGACGGGUGAGUAACGCGUGAGAAUCUGCCCUCAGGAGGGGGAUAACGGUUGGAAACGACCGCUAAUACCCCAUAUGCCUAUUGGUGAAAUGAAUUUCGCCUGAGGAUGAGCUCGCGUCUGAUUAGCUAGUUGGUGAGGUAAUGGCUCACCAAGGCUUCGAUCAGUAGCUGGUCUGAGAGGAUGAUCAGCCACACUGGGACUGAGACACGGCCCAGACUCCUACGGGAGGCAGCAGUGGGGAAUUUUCCGCAAUGGGCGAAAGCCUGACGGAGCAACGCCGCGUGAGGGACGAAGGCCUCUGGGCUGUAAACCUCUUUUCUCAAGGAAGAAGAUAUGACGGUACUUGAGGAAUAAGCCACGGCUAAUUCCGUGCCAGCAGCCGCGGUAAUACGGGAGUGGCAAGCGUUAUCCGGAAUUAUUGGGCGUAAAGCGUCCGCAGGCGGCUUUUCAAGUCUGCUGUUAAAGCGUGGAGCUUAACUCCAUCAUGGCAGUGGAAACUGAAAGGCUUGAGUAUGGUAGGGGCAGAGGGAAUUCCCGGUGUAGCGGUGAAAUGCGUAGAUAUCGGGAAGAACACCAGUGGCGAAGGCGCUCUGCUGGGCCAUUACUGACGCUCAUGGACGAAAGCCAGGGGAGCGAAAGGGAUUAGAUACCCCUGUAGUCCUGGCCGU